Molecule: small nuclear RNA, 139 nt
Organism: Candoia aspera
Lineage: Eukaryota; Metazoa; Chordata; Lepidosauria; Squamata; Candoiidae
Product: U4 spliceosomal RNA
Exons: 1
Source: RefSeq, a predicted model, not a curated record
UAUCGUGCGCAAGUGUCAGUAUCAUAGCCAAUGAGGUUAAUCCGAGGCACGAUUAUUGCUAAUUGAAAACUUUUCCCAAGAAGAGAAGAUUUUUUUUUUCCUUGAAAGAAAUGUCAAAACUGCCAAGGUCCUUUUGGAA